GUGGGGAAUCUUGCGCAAUGGGCGAAAGCCUGACGCAGCCAUGCCGCGUGAAUGAUGAAGGUCUUAGGAUUGUAAAAUUCUUUCACCGGGGACGAUAAUGACGGUACCCGGAGAAGAAGCUCCGGCUAACUUCGUGCCAGCAGCCGCGGUAAUACGAAGGGGGCUAGCGCUGCUCGGCAUUACUGGGCGUAAAGGGCGCGUAGGCGGACAGCUUAGUCAGAGGUGAAAGCCCAGGGCUCAACCUUGGAAUUGCCUUUGAUACUGGCUGUCUUGAGUUUGGGAGAGGUGAGUGGAACUCCGAGUGUAGAGGUGAAAUUCGUAGAUAUUCGGAAGAACACCAGUGGCGAAGGCGACUCACUGGCCCAAUACUGACGCUGAGGCGCGAAAGCGUGGGGAGCAAACAGGAUUAGAAACCCCAGUAGUCC
Molecule: ribosomal RNA, 425 nt
Filed under: uncultured bacterium
Lineage: Bacteria
Description: partial 16S ribosomal RNA
Rfam family: Bacterial small subunit ribosomal RNA
Source: RNAcentral